Molecule: long non-coding RNA, 594 nt
Organism: Nerophis ophidion (straightnose pipefish)
Lineage: Eukaryota; Metazoa; Chordata; Actinopteri; Syngnathiformes; Syngnathidae
Exons: 3
Source: RefSeq, a predicted model, not a curated record
AUCAAAAGUGUAAAGGAAAAAAGACACUUUUUAUUUCAACCGUACUUCCCGUCAAAAGCCUAAAGACUGAUCGCACAGUUCCUGUCUUCACAAUAAAAGUGCCGCUCCAUCGCGCCUGCGCGAACAAAAUAAGAGUCUCCGAAAGCCAGCGCAACCAAGCUAGCAAGCCACGGAGUUUGCCGCCAAUGUAUUUCUUGUAAAGUGUAUAAAAACGAAUAUGGAAGCUGGACAGAUAAGAUGCCAAAAACCAACGACUUUCAUGUGGUGUUAGACGGAAAAGAGGAACUUUUUUUCUCCUCCAUUUGAAAACGUGAACGUCUGAUUCCAAUCAUUGCAAGUCAUCAGAAUCAGAGUUUGGGUUCCUGGCUUGCUAGUCCGGCACAACUGGCGCUGAUCAGCUCACUCACCUCCCUGCCAUCAGCUAAUCACCUCCGCUCCACAAAAGCCCUGGUCUCCUCACACGACGCUGCCAGAUCGUUUCACAGCUCGCCAAGUGUGCCUACCUCCUCCAAGCCUGCCAAACACCUCCACUCCAGCUGACGACGCCUUUCCCUAAUCCCUUGUUUUCCUAAAUUAAACCCUUUGGAAUUUAAA